GAUGAACGCUGGCGGCGUGCUUAACACAUGCAAGUCGAACGGGAAUUACUUUAUUGACACUUCGGUCGAUUUAAUUUAAUUCUAGUGGCGGACGGGUGAGUAACGCGUGGGUAACCUGCCUUAUACAGGGGGAUAACAGUCAGAAAUGGCUGCUAAUACCGCAUAAGCGCACAGAGCUGCAUGGCUCGGUGUGAAAAACUCCGGUGGUAUAAGAUGGACCCGCGUUGGAUUAGCUUGUUGGUGGGGUAACGGCCCACCAAGGCGACGAUCCAUAGCCGGCCUGAGAGGGUGAACGGCCACAUUGGGACUGAGACACGGCCCAGACUCCUACGGGAGGCAGCAGUGGGGAAUAUUGCACAAUGGGGGAAACCCUGAUGCAGCGACGCCGCGUGAAGGAAGAAGUAUCUCGGUAUGUAAACUUCUAUCAGCAGGGAAGAUAGUGACGGUACCUGACUAAGAAGCCCCGGCUAACUACGUG
Molecule: ribosomal RNA, 478 nt
Filed under: uncultured bacterium
Lineage: Bacteria
Description: partial 16S ribosomal RNA
Rfam family: Bacterial small subunit ribosomal RNA
Source: RNAcentral